GGAUACUGAUCUUUCUAGCUCCUGUAUAUAGGUCCAGUUCAGAGUUUAAUUAUUUAUACAGCGCUGGUAGUCAUUCUAAGGGCAAUGCUUCUGUUGCAGAUGAUUUUAUGCAUCCUUGCUUUCACCACAGGUUAACAUCAGAGGCCAGCAUCCAUGUUGAACAGACUCUAAAGUUCAACCUACUCUUCUCUGCAGGAACCCUGAGGAAAAUAAAACAACGACAUCGAGUGACAGGAAAUGUAUGGCUUCACGCUGUGCCUCAGACAGCAGGUGUACUGUCAUGUGAUCACAAGCAUGGCUCUCUGUCAUUCGCAGCAAUCACUGAACGACACCACCGGCAAAUAGCUACUGCAGAAGGACGAUUUCUCAGGGUGUCAAUCAUCACGAUCUGUUCAAACAUGUCUCUGGCGCAGCGAAACCAACGGUGAUGCCAGAAGUGUCAUGCCUGUUCAAACUGAGGGAGCACAUGUGAUCACUGCAUUUUAAGGGAAUAGUUUACCCAAAAUUAAAAUUUGCUGAAAAUUUACUCACCCUCAGGCCAUCCAAAUUGAUUCACCCCAAGGCCAUCCAAGAUGAAGAUGAGUUUGUCAACAGAUUUGGAGAAAUUUAGCAUUACUUC
Long non-coding RNA from Cyprinus carpio carpio, 619 nucleotides. The record is from Ensembl. NCBI's taxonomy places the organism in Eukaryota, Metazoa, Chordata, Actinopteri, Cypriniformes, Cyprinidae.